RNA transcript from Helianthus annuus (common sunflower), 801 nucleotides. RefSeq lists it as uncharacterized. The record is from RefSeq and is a predicted model, not a curated record. NCBI's taxonomy places the organism in Eukaryota, Viridiplantae, Streptophyta, Magnoliopsida, Asterales, Asteraceae. The transcript has 4 exons.
GGCUAGCUGUAUGCAUAGGAUUUUGCCAAGGCUUCAGGACCACUUCAAGCUGAAUGAAUGUCUUCUGAUUACCAGACCAUCGCUUGCACCCAACAAUUCAACCUACAACUACACCAAAAAUAAUCAGAAGUUAACUUUCAGUUUUUUCACCCAGAUUCAAAAAAGUCAAGAUUGGAACGGGCCUAAGUAUAACUUCAGUUUUGUGAAUUUCAAGGACGUUGUCCAAAAUCGACUUGAAGUUAAUACCACAGUUGUCUAGAGGACACCACUAAAAAGGAUGGUACGAAAGGCAAGAGAUUGAAUGUUAAGCUUAAAGAUCUUGAGAACCAGCAGAUUAUUGGUACACUUUGGGAUGAAUUUGCAAUUCGGAUGCAUGCCUACUUCAACGCUGAAAAUCGAGAGAAGUAUGUCGUGAUGGUUGUUCACUUCGGUGUUGUGAAUCUUUACAAAGGAAAAUGUGGUUUGUCAACCUCAUUUGACAUUAGUAGAAUUUUCAUCGACACUGACAUUGAUGAAAUUACUACUUUCACGCAGAGGUAUUCUAGAAUUGUUUUAGUUAUUUUAAAAUAACAUUACUAUUAUUUAUUGCAUACUUUGAAUUUAUUAUCGGUUACAAAUUAUCCAUACAUAAUUGCGAACUAAUUCAUACGUAUACGUAUUUAAAAUAAUGUAGUUUAAUUGAGAAGUUCUUUUCAUCGCCAUCUUCAAGUGACAACUUUGGAUCGUAUUUGAUAUCAUCAGUGGAGGAUGAAUUUCAUGAAUAACAGUGAUCUUUUGCCGACUGUCUAUCUUGGUAACAUA